GUCGUAACAAGGUUUCCGUUGGUGAACCAGCGGAGGGAUCAUUACCAGAGUGCCCUAGGCUCUCCAACCCAUUGUGAACUUACCAAACGUUCCCUCGGCGGGCUCAGCGCGCGGUGGCCUCCGGGCCUCCGGGCGUCCGCCGGGGAAAACCAAACCCUGAUUUAAUCGUAUUUCUCUGAGGGGCGAAAGCCCGAAAACAAAAUGAAUCAAAACUUUCAACAACGGAUCUCUUGGCUCUGGCAUCGAUGAAGAACGCAGCGAAAUGCGAUAAGUAAUGUGAAUUGCAGAAUUCAGUGAAUCAUCGAAUCUUUGAACGCACAUUGCGCCCGCCGGCACUCCGGCGGGCAUGCCUGUCCGAGCGUCAUUUCAACCCUCAGGCCCACCCUUCCGGGGGAGCGGGCCUGGUUCUGGGGAUCGGCGGCCCUCGCGGCCCCCGUCCCUCAAAUUCAGUGGCGGUCGCGCCGCAGCCUCCCCUGCGUAGUAGCACAACCUCGCACCGGAGAGCGGAACGACCACGCCGUAAAACACCCAAUUUUUUAAGGUUGACCUCGGAUCAGGUAGGAAUACCCGCUGAACUUAAGCAUAUCAAUAAGCGGAGGA
This 600-nucleotide ribosomal RNA is filed under the name Sarocladium sp. JCM 28428. RNAcentral describes it as "eukaryotic LSU rRNA". The stretch from base 211 to 364 matches the Rfam family "5.8S ribosomal RNA". The record is from RNAcentral. Lineage: Eukaryota; Fungi; Ascomycota; Sordariomycetes; Hypocreales; Sarocladiaceae.